CAAAACUACGGUCUCAGUUCAGAUUGCAGGCUGCAACUCGCCUGCAUGAAGUUGGAAUUGCUAGUAAUCGCGAAUCAGAAUGUCGCGGUGAAUACGUUCCCGGGCCUUGUACACACCGCCCGUCACACCAUGAGAGUCGAUAACACCCGAAGCCUGUGAGCUAACCGUAAGGAGGCAGCAGUCGAAGGUGGGGUUGAUGAUUGGGGUGAAGUCGUAACAAGGUAUC
RNAcentral lists this ribosomal RNA (226 nucleotides) under uncultured bacterium. Its description in RNAcentral is "partial 16S ribosomal RNA". It matches the Rfam family "Bacterial small subunit ribosomal RNA", at positions 1275 to 1500 of the family's 1533-position model. The record is from RNAcentral.